RNAcentral lists this ribosomal RNA (253 nucleotides) under uncultured bacterium. RNAcentral describes it as "partial 16S ribosomal RNA". It matches the Rfam family "Bacterial small subunit ribosomal RNA", at positions 524 to 776 of the family's 1533-position model. The record is from RNAcentral.
GACAGAGGGUGCAAACGUUGUUCGGAAUUACUGGGCGUAAAGCGAGUGUAGGCGGUUUGGUAAGUCGGAUGUGAAAGCCCUGGGCUCAACCCAGGAAGUGCAUUCGAUACUGUCAAGCUAGAGUAUCGGAGAGGUUGGUGGAAUUCUCGGUGUAGAGGUGAAAUUCGUAGAUAUUCGGAAGAACACCAGUGACGAAGGCGACUCACUGGACAUGUAUUGACGCUGAGGUACGAAAGCGUGGGGAGCAAACAGG